Molecule: ribosomal RNA, 504 nt
Filed under: uncultured bacterium
Lineage: Bacteria
Description: bacterial SSU rRNA
Rfam family: Bacterial small subunit ribosomal RNA
Source: RNAcentral
GAUGAACGCUAGCUACAGGCUUAACACAUGCAAGUCGAGGGGCAGCGGGAUUGAAGCUUGCUUCAAUUGCCGGCGACCGGCGCACGGGUGAGUAACGCGUAUCCAACCUUCCGUACACUCAGGGAUAGCCUUUCGAAAGAAGAUUAAUACCUGAUGGUAUGAUGAGAUUGCAUGAUAGCAUCAUUAAAGAUUUAUCGGUGUACGAUGGGGAUGCGUUCCAUUAGGUAGUAGGCGGGGUAACGGCCCACCUAGCCUACGAUGGAUAGGGGUUCUGAGAGGAAGGCCCCCCACAUUGGAACUGAGACACGGACCAAACUCCUACGGGAGGCAGCAGUGAGGAAUAUUGGUCAAUGGGCGCGAGUCUGAACCAGCCAAGUCGCGUGAGGGAUGAAGGUUCUAUGGAUCGUAAAACCUCUUUUAUAAGGGAAUAAAGUGCGGGACGUGUCCCGUUUUGUAUGUACCUUAUGAAUAAGGAUCGGCUAACUCCGUGCCAGCAGCCGACGG